Molecule: ribosomal RNA, 447 nt
Filed under: uncultured bacterium
Lineage: Bacteria
Description: bacterial SSU rRNA
Rfam family: Bacterial small subunit ribosomal RNA
Source: RNAcentral
UGGGGAAUCUUGGACAAUGGGCGAAAGCCUGACCCAGCAACGCCGCGUGAAGGAUGAAGUAUUUCGGUAUGUAAACUUCGAAAGAAUAGGAAGAAUAAAUGACGGUACUAUUUAUAAGGUCCGGCUAACUACGUGCCAGCAGCCGCGGUAAUACGUAGGGACCAAGCGUUGUUCGGAUUUACUGGGCGUAAAGGGCGCGUAGGCGGCAAUUCAAGUCAUCUGUGAAAUCUCCGGGCUUAACUCGGAACGGUCAGAUGAUACUGCUUUGCUAGAGUGCAGAAGGGGCAAUCGGAAUUCUUGGUGUAGCGGUGAAAUGCGUAGAUAUCAAGAGGAACACCUGAGGUGAAGACGGGUUGCUGGGCUGACACUGACGCUGAGGCGCGAAAGCCAGGGGAGCAAACGGGAUUAGAUACCCCAGUAGUCCCUGAGCGGGCUGGCAAGGCGCAU